RNAcentral lists this ribosomal RNA (492 nucleotides) under uncultured bacterium. RNAcentral describes it as "partial 16S ribosomal RNA". It matches the Rfam family "Bacterial small subunit ribosomal RNA", at positions 29 to 507 of the family's 1533-position model. The record is from RNAcentral.
AGUGAACGCUGGCGGUAGGCCUAACACAUGCAAGUCGAACGGCAGCACAGUAAGAGCUUGCUCUUACGGGUGGCGAGUGGCGGACGGGUGAGGAAUACAUCGGAAUCUAUUUUUUCGUGGGGGAUAACGUAGGGAAACUUACGCUAAUACCGCAUACGUCCUACGGGUGAAAGCAGGGGAUCUUCGGACCUUGCGCGAUUGAAUGAGCCGAUGUCGGAUUAGCUAGUUGGCGGGGUAAAGGCCCACCAAGGCGACGAUCCGUAGCUGGUCUGAGAGGAUGAUCAGCCACACUGGAACUGAGACACGGUCCAGACUCCUACGGGAGGCAGCAGUGGGGAAUAUUGGACAAUGGGGGCAAGCCUGAUCCAGCCAUACCGCGUGGGUGAAGAAGGCCUUCGGGUUGUAAAGCCCUUUUGUUGGGAAAGAAGAGCAGCAGGUUAAUACCCCGCUGUUAUGACGGUACCCAAAGAAUAAGCACCGGCUAACUUCGUG